RNAcentral lists this ribosomal RNA (257 nucleotides) under uncultured bacterium. RNAcentral describes it as "partial 16S ribosomal RNA". It matches the Rfam family "Bacterial small subunit ribosomal RNA", at positions 524 to 776 of the family's 1533-position model. The record is from RNAcentral.
UACGAAGGGGGCUAGCGUUGCUCGGAAUGACUGGGCGUAAAGGGCGCGUAGGCGGUUUGUACAGUCAGGUGUGAAAUUCCCCGGGGCUCAACCUGGGGGCUGCACUUGAUACGUAGGAACUUGAGUGAGGAAGAGGGUCGUGGAAUUCCCAGUGUAGAGGUGAAAUUCGUAGAUAUUGGGAAGAACACCGGUGGCGAAGGCGGCGACCUGGUCCUUGUACUGACGCUGAGGCGCGAAAGCGUGGGGGAGCAAACAGG